GAUGGUUCGAUUAGUCUUUCGCCCCUAUACCCAGUUCAUACGAUCGAUUUGCACGUCAGAAUCGCUACGGACCUCCAUCAGGGUUUCCCCUGACUUCAUCCUGACCAGGCAUAGUUCACCAUCUUUCGGGUCCCAGCGUGUAUGCUCUUGGUGCGCCGCAACUUGCAAUAAGUAUGCGACGCCCCGGGAAUGCGAGGUAACAUAAAUAACGUUACCCAUCUUCCCUUUAUAAAAUAUAAUUAUAAAAAUUAUAUAUAUAUUUACUUUCAUUACGCCUUUAGGUUUAUUAUAAAUACCCAAUGACUUGCGCACAUGCUAGAUG
Molecule: ribosomal RNA, 322 nt
Filed under: Blackburnia constricta
Lineage: Eukaryota; Metazoa; Arthropoda; Insecta; Coleoptera; Carabidae
Description: partial 28S ribosomal RNA
Source: RNAcentral